Non-coding RNA from Cinara cedri, 284 nucleotides. NCBI's taxonomy places the organism in Eukaryota, Metazoa, Arthropoda, Insecta, Hemiptera, Aphididae. The record is from the annotation of a GenBank genome assembly.
CUUCAACCUUAAAUAUUACCACCUAUUUGGACUUGAAGAACAAAAUCAAGUUACGCAUAAAUAAUAAAUGGCAAUAAAAAACAAUAUCAACCGAUGGUUUAUUCCUGAACUCCGUAGAAAAUACGAAACCAUAAUUAACAGACUCCGAACGAACACACAUACCAAACGCACAAUAUUUAGAUGAAGAAAGAUGAAUCCUCACUCUGUGAUACAUGUGGCGUUUCAUUAACGGUCAACCACAUCAUCGCCGAAUGUAAAAAAUACAACUCUAUGUCUCCGUCCCC